GGUUAAGCGACUAAGCGUACACGGUGGAUGCCCUGGCAGUCAGAGGCGAUGAAGGACGUGCUAAUCUGCGAUAAGCGUCGGUAAGGUGAUAUGAACCGUUAUAACCGGCGAUUUCCGAAUGGGGAAACCCAGUGUGAUUCGUCACACUAUCAUUAACUGAAUCCAUAGGUUAAUGAGGCGAACCGGGGGAACUGAAACAUCUAAGUACCCCGAGGAAAAGAAAUCAACCGAGAUUCCCCCAGUAGCGGCGAGCGAACGGGGAGCAGCCCAGAGCCUGAAUCAGUGUGUGUGUUAGUGGAAGCGUCUGGAAAGGCGCGCGAUACAGGGUGACAGCCCCGUACACAAAAAUACACAUACUGUGAGCUCGAUGAGUAGGGCGGGACACGUGGUAUCCUGUCUGAAUAUGGGGGGACCAUCCUCCAAGGCUAAAUACUCCUGACUGACCGAUAGUGAACCAGUACCGUGAGGGAAAGGCGAAAAGAACCCCGGCGAGGGGAGUGAAAAAGAACCUGAAACCGUGUACGUACAAGCAGUGGGAGCACAGAGCAAUCUGUGUGACUGCGUACCUUUUGUAUAAUGGGUCAGCGACUUAUAUUCUGUAGCAAGGUUAACCGAAUAGGGGAGCCGAAGGGAAACCGAGUCUUAACUGGGCGUUAAGUUGCAGGGUAUAGACCCGAAACCCGGUGAUCUAGCCAUGGGCAGGUUGAAGGUUGGGUAACACUAACUGGAGGACCGAACCGACUAAUGUUGAAAAAUUAGCGGAUGACUUGUGGCUGGGGGUGAAAGGCCAAUCAAACCGGGAGAUAGCUGGUUCUCCCCGAAAGCUAUUUAGGUAGCGCCUCGUGAAUUCAUCUCCGGGGGUAGAGCACUGUUUCGGCAAGGGGGUCAUCCCGACUUACCAACCCGAUGCAAACUGCGAAUACCGGAGAAUGUUAUCACGGGAGACACACGGCGGGUGCUAACGUCCGUCGUGAAGAGGGAAACAACCCAGACCGCCAGCUAAGGUCCCAAAGUCAUGGUUAAGUGGGAAACGAUGUGGGAAGGCCCAGACAGCCAGGAUGUUGGCUUAGAAGCAGCCAUCAUUUAAAGAAAGCGUAAUAGCUCACUGGUCGAGUCGGCCUGCGCGGAAGAUGUAACGGGGCUAAACCAUGCACCGAAGCUGCGGCAGCGACACUAUGUGUUGUUGGGUAGGGGAGCGUUCUGUAAGCCUGUGAAGGUGUACUGUGAGGUAUGCUGGAGGUAUCAGAAGUGCGAAUGCUGACAUAAGUAACGAUAAAGCGGGUGAAAAGCCCGCUCGCCGGAAGACCAAGGGUUCCUGUCCAACGUUAAUCGGGGCAGGGUGAGUCGACCCCUAAGGCGAGGCCGAAAGGCGUAGUCGAUGGGAAACAGGUUAAUAUUCCUGUACUUGGUGUUACUGCGAAGGGGGGACGGAGAAGGCUAUGUUGGCCGGGCGACGGUUGUCCCGGUUUAAGCGUGUAGGCUGGUUUUCCAGGCAAAUCCGGAAAAUCAAGGCUGAGGCGUGAUGACGAGGCACUACGGUGCUGAAGCAACAAAUGCCCUGCUUCCAGGAAAAGCCUCUAAGCAUCAGGUAACAUCAAAUCGUACCCCAAACCGACACAGGUGGUCAGGUAGAGAAUACCAAGGCGCUUGAGAGAACUCGGGUGAAGGAACUAGGCAAAAUGGUGCCGUAACUUCGGGAGAAGGCACGCUGAUAUGUAGGUGAAGUCCCUCGCGGAUGGAGCUGAAAUCAGUCGAAGAUACCAGCUGGCUGCAACUGUUUAUUAAAAACACAGCACUGUGCAAACACGAAAGUGGACGUAUACGGUGUGACGCCUGCCCGGUGCCGGAAGGUUAAUUGAUGGGGUCAGCGCAAGCGAAGCUCUUGAUCGAAGCCCCGGUAAACGGCGGCCGUAACUAUAACGGUCCUAAGGUAGCGAAAUUCCUUGUCGGGUAAGUUCCGACCUGCACGAAUGGCGUAAUGAUGGCCAGGCUGUCUCCACCCGAGACUCAGUGAAAUUGAACUCGCUGUGAAGAUGCAGUGUACCCGCGGCAAGACGGAAAGACCCCGUGAACCUUUACUAUAGCUUGACACUGAACAUUGAGCCUUGAUGUGUAGGAUAGGUGGGAGGCUUGGAAGUGUGGACGCCAGUCUGCAUGGAGCCGACCUUGAAAUACCACCCUUUAAUGUUUGAUGUUCUAACGUUGACCCGUAAUCCGGGUUGCGGACAGUGUCUGGUGGGUAGUUUGACUGGGGCGGUCUCCUCCUAAAGAGUAACGGAGGAGCACGAAGGUUGGCUAAUCCUGGUCGGACAUCAGGAGGUUAGUGCAAUGGCAUAAGCCAGCUUGACUGCGAGCGUGACGGUGCGAGCAGGUGCGAAAGCAGGUCAUAGUGAUCCGGUGGUUCUGAAUGGAAGGGCCAUCGCUCAACGGAUAAAAGGUACUCCGGGGAUAACAGGCUGAUACCGCCCAAGAGUUCAUAUCGACGGCGGUGUUUGGCACCUCGAUGUCGGCUCAUCACAUCCUGGGGCUGAAGUAGGUCCCAAGGGUAUGGCUGUUCGCCAUUUAAAGUGGUACGCGAGCUGGGUUUAGAACGUCGUGAGACAGUUCGGUCCCUAUCUGCCGUGGGCGCUGGAGAACUGAGGGGGGCUGCUCCUAGUACGAGAGGACCGGAGUGGACGCAUCACUGGUGUUCGGGUUGUCAUGCCAAUGGCACUGCCCGGUAGCUAAAUGCGGAAGAGAUAAGUGCUGAAAGCAUCUAAGCACGAAACUUGCCCCGAGAUGAGUUCUCCCUGACUCCUUGAGAGUCCUGAAGGAACGUUGAAGACGACGACGUUGAUAGGCCGGGUGUGUAAGCGCAGCGAUGCGUUGAGCUAACCGGUACUAAUGAACCGUGAGGCUUAACCUU
RNAcentral lists this ribosomal RNA (2905 nucleotides) under Escherichia coli. RNAcentral's name for it is "23S ribosomal RNA". It matches the Rfam family "Bacterial large subunit ribosomal RNA". Lineage: Bacteria; Pseudomonadati; Pseudomonadota; Gammaproteobacteria; Enterobacterales; Enterobacteriaceae. The record is from RNAcentral.